Molecule: transfer RNA, 86 nt
Filed under: Candidatus Nomurabacteria bacterium
Lineage: Bacteria; Candidatus Nomuraibacteriota
Description: tRNA-Tyr
Rfam family: tRNA
About the family: Transfer RNA (tRNA) molecules are approximately 80 nucleotides in length.
Source: RNAcentral
GCGUCGGUGGCGGAGUGGUCAAUCGCAUUAGACUGUAAAUCUAACGGAUUUAUCCUACGCAGGUUCAAAUCCUGCCCGGCGCACCA